UACGUAGGGUGCAAGCGUUAAUCGGAAUUACUGGGCGUAAAGCGUGCGCAGGCGGCUUUGCAAGACAGAUGUGAAAUCCCCGGGCUUAACCUGGGAACUGCAUUUGUGACUGCAUGGCUGGAGUGCGGCAGAGGGGGGUGGAAUUCCACGUGUAGCAGUGAAAUGCGUAGAUAUGUGGAGGAACACCGAUGGCGAAGGCAGCCCCCUGGGCUAACACUGACGCUCAUGCACGAAAGCGUGGGGAGCAAACAGG
RNAcentral lists this ribosomal RNA (253 nucleotides) under uncultured bacterium. Its description in RNAcentral is "partial 16S ribosomal RNA". It matches the Rfam family "Bacterial small subunit ribosomal RNA", at positions 524 to 776 of the family's 1533-position model. The record is from RNAcentral.